ACGAACGCUGGCGGCGUGCUUAACACAUGCAAGUCGAACGGAAAGGCCCUGCUUUUGUGGGGUGCUCGAGUGGCGAACGGGGGAGUAACACGUGAGUAACCUGCCCUUGACUUUGGGAUAACUUCAGGAAACUGGGGCUAAUACCGGAAAGGAGCUCCUGCUGCAUGGUGGGGGUUGGAAAGUUUCGGCGGUUGGGGAUGGACUCGCGGCUUAUCAGCUUGUUGGUGGGGUAGUGGCUUACCAAGGCUUUGACGGGUAGCCGGCCUGGGAGGGUGACCGGCCACAUUGGGACUGCGAUACGGCCCAGACUCCUACGGGAGGCAGCAGUGGGGAAUAUUGCACAAUGGGCGGAAGCCUGAUGCAGCAACGCCGCGUGCGGGAUGACGGCCUUCGGGUUGUAAACCGCUUUCGCCUGUGACGAAGCGUGAGUGACGGUAAUGGGUAAAGAAGCACCGGCUAACUACGUG
RNAcentral lists this ribosomal RNA (467 nucleotides) under uncultured bacterium. RNAcentral's name for it is "partial 16S ribosomal RNA". It matches the Rfam family "Bacterial small subunit ribosomal RNA", at positions 29 to 507 of the family's 1533-position model. The record is from RNAcentral.